RNAcentral lists this small RNA (1710 nucleotides) under Mytilus galloprovincialis (Mediterranean mussel). Lineage: Eukaryota; Metazoa; Mollusca; Bivalvia; Mytilida; Mytilidae. The record is from RNAcentral.
AAAAGAGGUAUGCGGUGGCAUCCUAUGCUAAUUAAAUGGUGCAUAUAUUUGAAAAGUAAAUCAACAUCAACUUAUGACAGUUUAAGACACUCAGGUUUUAUUAAGCUUCCUAGUGAAAGAUUGCUUUACGACUACACUCAUGUGAUUAAGCAAGGUGUAGGAUUUAAGCCUGAACUUAUUGACAUGUUAGCAGACGAAAUGGAAUCUAAAGGUGCAACAGAAGAAUGGCAACAAUAUGUAGGACUACUACAAGAUGAAAUAAAAGUAAAGAGUGAGUUAGUAUAUGACAAACAUUCAGGUGAAUUGAUUGGCUUCAUAGAUCUCGACAGCAUGUCAAAUAGUCUAAUCCAUAUGGAGGAAUGCAUUAAAGAAGAAGCAAAGAAGCUAGCUACGCACAUUUUAGUUGUAAUGGUACGCGGAAUAUCAGUUGACCUCAAGUUCCCACUUGCUCAUUUCGCCACCAAUGGAAUAACAUCGGACCAACUGUUUGGAAUUUUAUGGGAAUGUGUGGAGUUAGUUGAGAUUGAUGCUGGACUUAAGGUGUUGUACAUUACUGCUGAUGGUGCCUCACCCAAUAGAAGAUUCAUAAAACUUCACAAAACAGAUGAACAACAGACAACUGUGUACCGCGCUAUAAACAGAUUUGCUGCAGAUGAACGAUACAUAUAUUUUGUUUCAGAUCCACCCCAUCUGAUCAAAACAGCAAGGAAUUGUUUCUCAAAUUCAGGCUCACACAAGAAUACCAGAAAGAUGUGGUGUGGAGGUAAAGAUGUGUCAUGGAUGCAUAUUGUAGAUCUAUAUAAGGACCACUGUACUGGAGUCUUUAGAUUGUGUCCAAAGUUAUCAAGGGCCCACAUUGACAUAACAUCCUUUGGUGCAAUGAAAGUAAGUCUGGCAGCCCAAGUUUUAAGUACCACUGUGGCCAAUGCUCUAGAAAUGGUUUAUGGGGAUAGAACUAGUGCUACAACAGAGUUUAUACGCCACAUGGACAAAUUUUUUGACUGUCUUAAUGUCCGAAACUUGAAUGAAGGUCACCAGAAGAGAAAAGACAAUCUUAAACCAUUUACAGACCCAAAUGAUCCCAGGUUGGACUAUCUGACUGAUGAUUUUUUGAAGUAUUUUGAUGAUUGGAAGCAAAGUGUUGAAGCAAGACCUGGAGAAUACAGCAAGACACAGAAAAAUCAAAUGCAGUUAAGCUACCAGACAUUAGAAGGCUUUCGGAUAACUGUUCGUUCUGUUGUGGAAUGUACACGUCUGUUAUUACGUAAAGGAAUGCCAUUUGUGUUGACAGAAAGGUUUAACCAAGACCCAAUUGAACAGCAUUUUGGGAUACAUAGGACCAGUGGUGGUUGCAAUAACAAUCCAACUGUAAACCAGUUUAACCAUGCUAUGGUCAAAAUAAGGACAGUAGGUCAGCAUGCAAUUGCACCAGUGAGGGGUAAUACCAAAAGGAGACUGAACUAUCCACAUGUCAUAGACAAUAAUCCUCUUCCAAAGCGUCCACGUCACUCAUUGUAAAGAUAGUACAAAUAUAGACAUAUUUUUUGAAAGUGUAUCAUAAGGAUGUUUGAUGGUCAUGUUUUGAUGUUAUUGUAAAAAAAAAAUUCAAAAUCAUCUGAGUUUAUACAUUUAAGUCAUAAGAUAUUGUAACUUUUAAGUGAUUAACGUGUUUAAGUAAUGAAAAGUCUUAUAAAAUACCCCCAAUCAACC